CAGUAGCCGCGGUAAUACGGAGGGGGCUAGCGUUGUUCGGAAUUACUGGGCGUAAAGCGCACGUAGGCGGCUUGGUAAGUUAGAGGUGAAAGCCCGGAGCUCAACUCCGGAAUUGCCUUUAAGACUGCCGAGCUAGUAGGUGAGAGAGGUAAGUGGAAUUCCGAGUGUAGAGGUGGAAUUCGUAGAUAUUCGGAAGAACACCAGUGGCGAAGGCGGCUUACUGGCUCAUUCUAGACGCUGAGGUGCGAAAGCGUGGGGAGCAAACGGGAUUAGAUACCCCUGUAGUCCCUGUCUCUUAUAU
RNAcentral lists this ribosomal RNA (301 nucleotides) under uncultured bacterium. Its description in RNAcentral is "partial 16S ribosomal RNA". It matches the Rfam family "Bacterial small subunit ribosomal RNA", at positions 509 to 809 of the family's 1533-position model. The record is from RNAcentral.